GCUGGAGAGAGAAGGGACAGGUGACCCGAUCGGAGCCCAGCCCGGCCCGGCCGCCGUCGGCGGGGGGCGAGAGAGAGCAAGGGGCGUCGAGGUCUGGGAGGGACUCUAGGGAGAUCCCGGCCGGGAUGUGGCGAGAGGCCUGAACCGGGGAGAGCCGGUAGAUGUGCGGCUAACUGGAGGGUGUCUGCCGCCUGGAACCCCGAAGAGGUGUCCACACGCGCCGCCGCGGGCCCACCUCCCCCGGCGCCCUCGGGAACGGGGGCGGCUCAGGGACUCGCCUGCAGCUCCCUCUGCCUGCAGCUGCUCCAUCUGCUCCUGCAGCAGCCGGACUUGCGCCUCCAGGUCCCGGUUCCGGGCCUCGGCCUCGCGGAGCUGACUGCGGGGAGGGAAGGACCGUGAGCCCUGGGACCUCGGGGAGAGAGGCUGCGACAGGCAGCGACCGGGCCGGGCCGAGCCGAGCCUGACCUGGCGAAGCUCUGGUUGGCCGUGCGGAUGGCCUCCAGCUCCCGGCUCAGGCUCUGCCGGGUCAGCACCUCCUCCUCCAGGGCCUCCUGGAGCUCCCGCAGCGUCAUCUCCGCCUCUGCCACCGCGGGAACGGCCUCUGGACCUGCCGCUUCAGCCUGUGGAUGGGGACCGGGUUUAGGGCUGGGCUGCCUGUGGCUCUUGGAGCCUGGAGACUUGAGCAUGGGUUCCAGGCCUGGGAUCCUCCCUUGUCUUCUACUCCCCGUCCCCUAGAUCUUUCUGGAAUCCUCACAGCCCCUGUGGUGAUCCAAACGCCCUCCGUCCAUAACCCCAGCCCCUAUCCUGUAUUCCAGCCUUUAGUCUUUAGGUUUGUUUCCUGCUGGCCUCCCCGGCCUCCCCUCCCCUCGCUCCCUACCCCCUUGUCCUAGAACAGUUCAGCUUUACGACCCUCCUUUCUGCUCAAGGACUAACUAGCUAGUUCCUACCUCAGGGCCUUUGUCCCUGCGGUCCCCUCUGCCGACCCAUGAGCACUCUUGUUCCCUCAGGGGGUCCUUCUCCAGAGCUCCCUCUCCCCAGAGAGCCCCCCUCCACACACACUCGGUGCCCUAUGAUCAUCUCUGACUCAAGUCCCCUUGUCUCCACUGGGUUUUCCAUCUCUUUCUGUCAAGUGAGCUCCCAGAGGCCUUAGCACUCCAGGGCACCCACCGCCCAGGACGCCCUGGCCUCAGACCCGCCCCUGCCUGGCCCUCGCCUCCAACGACUCACUGUUUUCUCCAGUGGGGGCACUGUGGGCUCCAGGCUGGGCACUUGCACAGGUGGCUCAGGCAACAGCUCAGCCUCCAGUUCCAUGGGUGUGGGGCCCGGGACCUCAUCGUCCCUGGGGAGAGGAACCGGCCAGGGGAGGGAGAGCUGGCCCCAGCCCGAGGCUGCCCAUCCCUGCGGUUAGCCAGGAUGCCCUAGCCUGUGGGCGUGGGGUGGCCAGACCCAAGAUCCCAUGGUUUGAGGAGGGGGAGGGGGCAGAGUAAAGGGGACAAAUUGCCAGGCUUGUGUGACAGGUCCUCCUCGUUAGGGAAAGGCCCUCCCCUCGCAUGCCUCGGGCCCCUGGGAGCCGCCGUCUCUGCAGCUUCUGCGGGAAUUGGGGCCCAGACACUCAUGGGCUAGGGUCUGCUCAUCUCCCCGUCCACGUGACUUUUGCAGACCCUUCUCCUCAGGGCCUCAGGACAGUGAAGGGGACCCCACCCAACUCUGGUCACCCCCAGAGAUGUAGUCUUAAGACUGGGUGUGGGAUCCCAAGGCUGUGAUGCUAGACAUCCCCUCAGACCCAGCUGCUGAGAGGGGACAGACCCUCCCGAGGAAUAUGGAAUUGCGAGAAAAGUGGAUGUCCCCUCCAACCCAGCAACCCCACUCCUGGAAAGAGGUCUUGAGGACCUCACGGUCUGUACGUGUGCCGAGACCAAGCCGCAGCUGUCUGUCCAGCCUGGGUUGUGACAGAGGCCGGUUAACUGAAUCCUGACCCGCCCAGGAAGGAGAACGCUACACAGCGGGUCAGGAUCAUGUCACAGUUCAUUCAUGAGAAGAAACAUCGUUUGCAAUCCAUCAGCCAGCAACAAACCAGACUGGAACACAGCACCUGCUCUCGGCUGUUGGAAAUGUGUGUGAGCCAGGGGCCGUCGCUGCUGGCGGGACGCCCCUUCCUUACCGACACAAGCAAUGGAUUAUUUGUAUAAUUAAUGUUUUUAAAAGGCUUACAGUUAUGUGAGUGACUCAAUGAGUUUGUGUUCUUUUAAGAGUUUGUGUUCUUUUAAAUUUUAAGUUUAAAAUUUCUAAACUUCUUAUUUUCUAAGA
Equus caballus (horse) is the source of this 2307-nucleotide non-coding RNA. The record is from RefSeq and is a predicted model, not a curated record. Lineage: Eukaryota; Metazoa; Chordata; Mammalia; Perissodactyla; Equidae.